Molecule: ribosomal RNA, 466 nt
Filed under: uncultured bacterium
Lineage: Bacteria
Description: bacterial SSU rRNA
Rfam family: Bacterial small subunit ribosomal RNA
Source: RNAcentral
GACGAACGCUGGCGGCGUGCCUAACACAUGCAAGUCGAACGGAGCUAUUGACUUCGGUUGAUAGCUUAGUGGCGAACGGGUGAGUAACGCGUGAGCAACCUGUCCUUCAGAGGGGGAUAACAACGAGAAAUCGUUGCUAAUACCGCAUAAGACCACACUGUCGCAUGGCAGAGGGUAAAAGGAGCAAUCCGCUGAUUGAGGGGCUCGCGUCCCAUUAGAUAGUAGGUGAGGUAACGGCUCACCUAGUCUGCGAUGGGUAGCCGAGCUGAGAGGCUGAACGGCCACACUGGAACUGAGACACGGUCCAGACUCCUACGGGAGGCAGCAGUGGGGAAUAUUGGGCAAUGGGCGAAAGCCUGACCCAGCAACGCCGCGUGAGGGAAGAAGGUCUUCGGAUUGUAAACCUCUGUUCUUGGUGACGAAAAAGAUGACGGUAGCCAAGGAGAAAGCCCCGGCUAACUACGUG